Molecule: ribosomal RNA, 484 nt
Filed under: uncultured bacterium
Lineage: Bacteria
Description: partial 16S ribosomal RNA
Rfam family: Bacterial small subunit ribosomal RNA
Source: RNAcentral
AUUGAACGCUCGCGGGAUGCUUUACACAUGCAAGUCGAACGGCAGCGCGGACUUCGGUCUGGCGGCGAGUGGCGAACGGGUGAGUAAUGUAUCGGAACGUGCCCAGUAGCGGGGGAUAACUACGCGAAAGCGUAGCUAAUACCGCAUACGCCCUACGGGGGAAAGCAGGGGAUCGUAAGACCUUGCACUAUUGGAGCGGCCGAUAUCGGAUUAGCUAGUUGGUGAGGUAACGGCUCACCAAGGCGACGAUCCGUAGCUGGUUUGAGAGGACGACCAGCCACACUGGGACUGAGACACGGCCCAGACUCCUACGGGAGGCAGCAGUGGGGAAUUUUGGACAAUGGGGGCAACCCUGAUCCAGCCAUCCCGCGUGUGCGAUGAAGGCCUUCGGGUUGUAAAGCACUUUUGGCAGGAAAGAAACGUAGCGGGCUAAUACCCCGUGGAACUGACGGUACCUGCAGAAUAAGCACCGGCUAACUACGUG